GGAGAUGCGCGGCUGCUGCGGAUGACGUCACACGCACCUUCGUGCACUACGUCCUCUCCGCACUGAGCGAGUCCCUAUAUAAACCCCCGUACACAAGCCAGAAUUGCUGCAGUCUCUCGGGAGACUCAUGGAGGAGAGUGCCAUCGCACAUACUGAACCAGGCUUAUCAUUGCCUUAAUCCUUGGCUACCAGCCGGCAUCCAGCUCUGGUUUCUCAUUUCUACUACCAGGAAAUGUUACAUGUAUUGAGGAUUGUUAGAGGGUAGUGAUCGCUCUCUGCCUUCUCCCUUCUCCUCAAGCCCUGUCCUCCUUCAUUGAAGGUAGGAUGUCCCCUUUAUUAUUUUUGUUAUUAUCCAAUACCAGCUCGAUAUUCUAUUCAUUGCAUUAUCUUCUAUCUUUUACCUUUCAGACUGUUACUAUUUAGUUUAUGCGGGUCAUUUCCCUACACUUUUUACAACGUCCAGCAGCCCGGACACAGUCUAUUUCUUAUCUUAUUUUAUUGACAGAAAAUUUAUAUAUUGAUCCCCCUACCAACCAACACUAUCUUUAAAACUACAUUGCUGACUCCGUGAGGAAGCGCUGCUAAAGCGCGAAACCGGUCGAGUCCACCUACGCAGCAAGCCAAACCACCGCAGACAUUUCUCUGCCUGCAUUUCCACAACGUGACAGGACCACUAAUUACAUUCAUGCACCUUAUUCCAAAUACUUUUGGAAGUGUUCAAUUUUAUUGUUGAUAUUUUGUUAUAAUUUAUGUAUAUAUUCCUGUCAAUGUUCAUGGAUAGGCUUGCCUAGAUUAGCCUGUUAGAUGGUUUUUUGUGCUGGAAACGGCAAUACUCUUUCUUCUGUAUUUUUCUACACAUUAUGAUAUUUUAUAUCUAAAUAAACAAAUCUACUUUUUAGAAAAAAUUCUUUUCUUGUAUAUAUAUUCUGACCAACCAAAUCGUGCCUAAAAAGUCCAAAAACUAGCCCCUAGUUCCCUCCUUUAUCAUUUAUACUAGGACGCGGCACCCUCUUUUUACUUUAUAAUAUCCACAUGCACACUACAUGUGAGGAUAUUGUUACCUCUUU
This is a long non-coding RNA of Rana temporaria (common frog), 1067 nucleotides long. RefSeq lists it as uncharacterized. The transcript is spliced from 3 exons. The record is from RefSeq and is a predicted model, not a curated record. NCBI's taxonomy places the organism in Eukaryota, Metazoa, Chordata, Amphibia, Anura, Ranidae.